This 87-nucleotide transfer RNA is filed under the name Alphaproteobacteria bacterium. Its description in RNAcentral is "tRNA-Leu". It matches the Rfam family "tRNA". From Rfam's summary of the family: Transfer RNA (tRNA) molecules are approximately 80 nucleotides in length. The record is from RNAcentral. Lineage: Bacteria; Pseudomonadati; Pseudomonadota; Alphaproteobacteria.
GCGGGUGUGGUGGAAUUGGUAGACACACUAGACUUAGGAUCUAGCGGCGGUUACGCCAUGGGGGUUCAAGUCCCUCCACCCGCACCA